UAAAACGACUCUCGGCAACGGAUAUCUCGGCUCUCGCAUCGAUGAAGAACGUAGCGAAAUGCGAUACUUGGUGUGAAUUGCAGAAUCCCGUGAACCAUCGAGUCUUUGAACGCAAGUUGCGCCCCAAGCCUUCUGGCCGAGGGCACGUCUGCCUGGGUGUCACA
Molecule: ribosomal RNA, 164 nt
Filed under: Descurainia sophia
Lineage: Eukaryota; Viridiplantae; Streptophyta; Magnoliopsida; Brassicales; Brassicaceae
Also listed under: 11 other names
Description: 5.8S ribosomal RNA
Rfam family: 5.8S ribosomal RNA
About the family: 5.8S ribosomal RNA (5.8S rRNA) is a component of the large subunit of the eukaryotic ribosome.
Source: RNAcentral